Molecule: long non-coding RNA, 3542 nt
Organism: Bos taurus (domestic cattle)
Lineage: Eukaryota; Metazoa; Chordata; Mammalia; Artiodactyla; Bovidae
Source: Ensembl
CCUCAGGGUAUUUUGCUAGCAGCUGCUGACCCAGACAGCACACACUGUAGCUAUUAUCUAAUCAUCUAGUAAUUAGCUUGACAUUUAUAAAGGGGCCUCCAGGGCCUUGGGAUGACACUGCCUUUUUCAGAUGCAAGGAUACUGUGAUUUUGCACUUGUGCAGGGCAAGAGGGGAGCAGAAGGGAAAAGUGAUCGAGGUUUUGCCUGCCGUCAACAGCCCUGAGCAGAGGCAGAUAGACAGCUGGGAAGAAGCCCCUGGAACAGAUGACCAGGGAAAAGCAUGUGGUUUCAGCCAGGACAUGGAGGAGACAGGCCGGCAUCCAUUUCUUAUCUGGACAAGAGCAGCAGACACCUAUGCGGCACUGCAGACAAAGAGGCAACAGGUGUGCUGAGCGUUCAGCCCUCUGGGCUGGUGGAGGCUGGAGCCUCUAGACCAGCCUCAAGAAGUCUCACCUGCUGAUCUCAGUGUGAAUUCAAAUGUCAUCAUUUGUUACAUUGCUUCCAUGUGGGAAGUGUAGGGAAGCACCCAUCUCUCGAUUGUACUCUUCUGUCCACAUGGCCCCAUACCCAGGCAAGGUGGCCAGGUUUAUCUCCACGGAGUCCAACUCGGUGCAGCUUGCCUUCAGAAUGGCCAUUAGGAUUCUACAAGAUGGGAAAGCUGCUGAAACCUACAAGGACAGGCAAGGAGAGCCAGUACAGGGGUCCUUCUUACAGCUUGGGUGCCGUGGAUUGAGGAGAUGUGCAAAGGAGAGCAGCCCCCGAGGGCCCCUGGGAAGCUCACUCCUCCUGCUCCUUCAUCUGGAAUGGUUGUUCUCACACUCCACAGUGUGCAAGCACCAACUGCUGCAAUUGUCAGCAAUGCAGAUUCCAGGGCCUUCUCCUGCCCCACCCACGUUUUAAGUCAAUGUGUUUGCAACCAGACCCAGCAGUCUGCAUUUUCAGGGAGCAUGCUGACUGUGGACAAAGAUCUUCCUUUGAGAAACAGUGCCCUGAUGAUCUCAGCUAACAGUAGAGUUCACCCAGUCUUCCUCAGAAGAUUGAACAAUGGCAUAUGGGCAGGAAUUUGCAGUAAAAAGCAGUGUCUCAGCCUAAAAUCUCGAAUCAAACACACCGCUUUGAAAAGACAGAAGAAAAAGGAAUCCUUAAAAAUAUGGAAAGUGGUUGAAAGGAAGACCAUCUGGGCAAACCAAAGUUACUCAUCCCCAAGAACAUUCUCGGAGAAAGGCAAAUUGCAUGGAAAAUACAAAAUGUAAUCCUAAAGGAAGCUUUGAAAUUCUGGAAAGAAUUUAUAACCUGUAACCUACGCAGCCCACUGGGCAGAGUACCACAGCAAACUGCUCUCUAAAGUGUGACGAGAUGGAAGGUAUAGCGAAGGCAGGGAGUGUGUGUGUGGCUGGUGAGUGCAACCUGUGUCCUUACUCACUGAGGUGACUCUGCUGGCUGUUGUGGCUUUUUCUGAUCCCCAGGUGGAGAAGGGGUCUGGAUCACGGGAAUGCCAUGAACUUAUCAGGCAAGUGACACGAUAUUUGAAAUCCAGGCUGACUGGCAAAUGUGAAUCCCCAUCCACUGUGAUUCUGUGGGGAUGCUGGGCUAUUCCAGCUGCAGGUAUUUACCAUCAGUGUGGGGUGUUGCUGCUGCACGCUUCUCUGCCUCCUUUUGCAUACCAUGUGGAUCACUCCGUGACAAUUCAGAACUCCCGCUUCCCUUGUGGCUCAGCUGGUAAAGAAUCCGCCUGCAAUGUGGGAGACCUGGGUUCGAUCCCUGGGUUGGGAAGAUCCCCUAGAGGAGGGAAAGGCUACCCACUCCAGUAUUCUGGCCUGGAGAAUUCCAUGGACUGUAUAGUCCAUGGGGUCACAAAGAGUCAGACAUGACUGAGCGACUUUCAGAACUCCACCCAGAGCAUGGAGUAGAUAGGGGCUCUGAUCUGUUCUGUGUUAACAGGUGUUAACAGGCAUAGCUAGAGACCAGAGAGCAACUGCAACCUGGACAAAAACUGGGGUCCUUCCUCUUUGCUGGAGAAAGACUAGGAGGGGGUAUUCUGAAAGAGGCAGCACCAUCUGGGUUAAUGGCACCCGACUUGGGCUGGCUCAACACCAGUGGGACGGGCGCCGGCUGACAGUUUCCCCAGAGGACGUGUGGGGUUUCUCAGCUUGCGUCUCCACGAGAUCUCACUGAACUGGCUCCACAACCAUGAUCCAGGAGAAGGUUGAGAAUCAGCAGGAGGAAGAGGUGAGAGAAGAAACCUGUUUUCAGCUCUGGUGGAGAUGCUACUUUUAACUGAGAUAUCUGUGGAGGAAAGAAACACAGAAGGCUCAAUGGGGUCCUUUUAGAGCUUUAGUGAACACUCACCCAAAGUGGAAAAAUGGCCAAGUGUUAAACAUCGAGCUGAAGCCAAAUAUUGCUAUUAUAGAUACCCUUCAGGAUAAUCAGAAAUAUAAGACUUUAAGUACGGAAUUUGUGCUACACUUUUGUUAGUAAAAUGUUUAAUGUUCAGAUUUCUAGUUGGACCGUAUAGAGGAGGGACAGCAAUGUCUUAGCACUGUCCACUGUGGAAUGGCUCCAGCCACCUCACUGUUACUCACACAGAUGGUAAGCACUCACUGUCACACAUUCUUCUGCCAGUACAAGCUGCUCAUAAUGGUGAUGUCACCGAGCUAUCUUGAACUGUAACUGACUUUAGACAACUCCUCUUGGACUCCUGUAAGUCUUUCAGGACUUCUUGAAAGACUCAUGUCACGUGUUAAAUAACUAAAAAUUAAAUGUGGCUCAUAUGGUUUAAUUUGUUUAUUUUUAUGAGUGCUUAUUAUACCAAAGAAUUCUAUCAGGAUUAGAUUUAUAAUCUAGUCUGUCUUGUUCUGCCCUGUGGUAUCCAGGUAAUUGUUACUAACAGCACUACAGGUGGCCACAAUCAGAUCCAGCAUUCAAGGUACCUCCCCCAUGUGAAGCCUCAGGGUGGGGCCUUGGGUAAAGCCCUGGGCUCAGAGUUCAGUGAGUUCUUGGUGCACAGAGCUCCAAGAACCACUCCAGCACGCUGCCUGCCACGGAGCAGGGUUUCAGCAAGUAUUUGCUGGAUGAGUGAGAGGCUAAGUGGAUGAAUAAAGAUCUAAGUCAGAGUCAAGCUAGGAAUAGUCUGCACCUCAAGGCUCUACCAGCACUAGGAAAGGGUCUACCUAGAGACUGCAGAAGAGAUGAGCCUACAUGAAGAUAUUCAAGGAGACCCAGGGAAGGUGUCUAAGAGGCUGUGAAAGCAUGAAGUCACACGGGCCAUGGCUGUCAGCAGAGGAGCUUCUAGAGGCCACCGGCAUUCCUGGACUUGUGGCCUCUUCCAUCUCCAAAGCCAAUAAGGACUGAUCCAGUAUUUCUCACACCUCGUCACUCUGACCUUCUCUCCUGCUCCUCUUUCACUUUUAAAAAUAUAUAUGUAUGUUUGACUGCACUGGGUCUUAGUUGUGAAACGUGGGCUCUUUGUUGCUGCAUGUAGACUCUCUAAUUGUGGCAUGCAGGAUCUAGUUCCCUGACCAGGAAUUGAACCUGCGGCCCCC